RNAcentral lists this ribosomal RNA (1967 nucleotides) under Selenaion koniopes. RNAcentral describes it as "bacterial SSU rRNA". It matches the Rfam family "Eukaryotic small subunit ribosomal RNA". Lineage: Eukaryota; Heterolobosea; Selenaionea; Selenaionida; Selenaionidae. The record is from RNAcentral.
AACCUGGUUGAUCCUGCCAGUAAAAUAUGCUUCUCUAAAAGACUAAGCCAUGCAUGUCUUAGAACACACGGCACCUAGUGUCGACAACUCAUCUGUGGAUGGCUCAUUAAACCUGUUGUAAUCUAGCCACUCGAAAGUCUGAAAUGGAUAACCGCACCAACGGUGUGGAUAAUACACGCAGUGCGCGGCCUUCGGGUCGCAGGUUAUAGGGGAACUGGCAAAGCCCCUAUACAUUAGCGGACGGGAGGCCUCGGUCUCCUCGAUGCUACUACAGACUAUCGACCGGUAACCCCUCGUGCCCUCGGGUGCGAGCGGGUGCCUUCGGGUGGCCAAGAGGGAGAACUUCAACCCUAUCAGCUACUGUUGCUACGCCAAAGACGUAGCAAGGCAACAACGGGUACGGAGGAUCAGUGUCCAACUCCGGAGAAGGAGCCAUAGUAAAGGCUACUACAUCUAAGGAAGGCAGCAGGCGCGUAAAUUACCCAAUCCUAACGCAGGGAGGUAGUGAAGAGACAUAACAACCUUUCGCUUCGCGGAAGGGUACUGUCUAACAGUUUGCAAUGGGGUCAACUUAAAAGUAUGGCAGAGUACCAACAGGAGGACAAGUUUGGUGCCAGCACCCGCGGUAAUUCCAGCUCCUGUAGUGUAUUUUAAUAUUGUUGCAGUUAAAACGUUCGCAGCCGACCUACGCAUGGUGGGUGAGCCUGCGGUGAUGCUCCACCGGGAGACUGUGUUGCUUCGGCGGCGCARAGGACCGGAGCUUCGGCUACGGGGUGUCGCCCUUGGCGCUGACUGAUCCCCUGUCUUCGGACGGGAGGCUGACGUUGGUGUGCAGGUGCAGUCUGUCAUGCACGCUCUGACCGUGAGCAAAUCGUCGCGCUUAAAGCAGGCACUGUCUGUCAGCUCGCUGACGCAGGCCUAGUUGAACUAGCAUGGAAUCUAACCAGAGUCUCUCUGGACGCGCGCAUUGGGAGUGGUGGGGGGCUUGAGUAUUGUGCCGCGAGGGGUGAAAUCCGGUGACCGGCGCAAGACUACCAACAGCGAAAGCACUUGCCCAUGCCACAUCCGACGGCGAGGAACGAAAGUCAGGGGAUCGAGACGAUUAGAUACCGUCGUAGUCCUGACUGUAAACGAUACCGACAAGAGAUUGGGGUGACACCCAUCUCUGAUCCUCUCAGCAUCUGAGGGAAACCGUAAGUUUCCGAGUUCUGGGGGGAGUAUGGUUGCAAGGCUGAAACUUAAAAGGAUUGACGGAAGGGCACCACCAGGAGUGGAGUCUGCGGUUUAAUUCGACUCAACACGGGGAAACUCACCAGGGCCAGACACCCGAAUGAUUGACAGGCUGAAGUCCUUUCUUGAUUGUGUGAUUGGUAGUGCAUGGCCGUUCUUAGUACGUGGCCCGAGCUGUCUAGUUAAUUCUGAUAACGUACGAGACCUUCGCCCUUAGUUGGCAACCUGUGGGCUUCGGCCCACUCGCUUCUUCGGAAGCAGGUUCUCAGGCGCACUCGUGUGCCGGUGCAACUUAAGGGGACGACGCACGUAGUCAAUAGUGCGGGGAAGUCGAAGGCAAUAACAGGUCUGUAAUGCUCUUAGAUGUUCUGGGCAACACGCGUACUACACUGUCAACGAUAACAAGCAGCGUGCCUCCGGCACCGCUCUUCUCCCCGCAACCGCAACCGGAGUAGGGAAUCUCCGAAACUUUGACGUGACAGGGAUAGCUGAUUGUAAGUCCGUCUUGAACGAGGAAUUCCUAGUAGACGUAAGUCAGCAACUUGCGUCGACUACGUCCCUGCCCUUUGUACACACCGCCCGUCGCUCCUACCAACGGGACGGGAAGGCAAAGUCGGUGGACCGCUCAUGCUACAGCUUCGGCUGCAUGGCUUGUGUGGAAAGCUGACUGAACCUUCACGUCUAGAGGAAGGAGAAGUCGUAACAAGGUUUUCGUGGGUGAACCUGCAGAAGGAUCA